AUGGGUGCCCUCGAGAAAUCCAUCAGAGGUUUCGCGGAAAGAGAAGGUGAUGAGGUGGUGAAGCCUGAACUUGGGACGACAUUCGACUCACUGACAGAAGCGUAUGACUUCUACAAUUUGUAUUCGUGGGAGAAUGGGUUCGGCAUCAGAUACGGCAAGAGCAGACUAAAUCCAGACAAGAGAAAAACAAUGCAAGCGAUUGUGUGUGGAUGCUCGGGGAAACCAUUGAGGGAGAACUCACGGUCGUGUCGAUGUGAGUGCCCUGCUAUGAUUAGGUUGUUAAGGACGUCCGACAAUGGGUGGUAUAUUACUGAGCAUAGAGUUAAGCACAACCAUGUGUUGACUCCAAAUUGUGGGGAGAUGUUGCACUGGCCUUCUCAUAAACACAUAUACGUGUACACUAGGGACCUGGUUCGGAACCUAAGGAAGAACAACAUCAACCUAAGCAAGGUGUACAACAUCAUCGGGGGGUUCUUUGGGGCGGUCGAGAAUGUACCUUUCACGAAGAGAUCUCUGAGGCACCUGUGUGGGCAGAUCAGCCGGGAGGAAGCUGACGAUGAUGUUCGGAAAACAAUUGAGGCGGAUGAACAGAGCAAAAUAAGGAAUCUAAUGUGGGUAAGUGGAGAUAGUCGAUUGAAGUACAAUUUUUUUGGGGAUGUCGUGACGUUCGACACAACGUACAGGACUAACCUGUACGAUAUGCCGUUUGGUCUAUUCGUUGGGGUGAACAACCACUACCAGAGCAUACUCCUAGGAGGGGUGCUGUUGAGAGAUGAAUAGGUUGAGAGCUUUAAGUGUGUGUUCACAGAGUUUGUGAGGAUGAUGGGCGGUGUGGCACCCCAAACCAUACUUACAUAUCAGUGUUGGGCUAUGGAGGUCGCUAUUAAGAAUGUACUUCCCAACACGAUGCAUCGGUGGUGUAAGUGGCAUGUGUUGAAGAAAGCCAAGGAAAGUUUGGGCGCAAUGUUUGCGAAAAGAAAUGAGUUUAGGCAGGAAUUUCAUAAAGUGGUGGACCACAUGCUCACGGUAGAGGAGUUUGAGGAGGCUUGGUCACAACUGCUGGAGAAGCACAAUCUGAAAACACACCCGUAUAUGACAAAUCUAUUUGAGAUCAGAGAAAAAUGGGCAAAGCCGUACUUCAAGGGUGUUUUCUGCGCCAAGAUGCACAAGUUCGUGAGGCAAUACAUGAGGUUGCAGUUUGACCGUGCAUCGGACGAAAGUUAUGAGGAAAAGCGAACAAAGCUGGGCGGUGUGGUGUUGCGAACGAACUCUUCAAUAGAGAUAGAUGCAAGUAAGAUAUACAGGCGGGCAAUGUUCGAGCAGUUCGGACAAAUCCUGUACGAGGCUGGAGGCUAUUGAGUAAAAGAGGUCGAGAAGAACUCACUGUACAAGGCGAUGCACACCAGGCCAGAGAAGCGAGAGAGGUGGAGCAGAGUAAUUUUCAUGGUGAAAAUGCUAAGCGGCGGUGAGGAGUUUCAGUGCGAAUGUGGAUUGUUCGAGCACAUGGGCAUGCUGUGCUGCCAUGUUCUGAAGGUAGUAACAUAA
RNAcentral lists this ribosomal RNA (1545 nucleotides) under Triticum aestivum (bread wheat). RNAcentral's name for it is "partial small subunit ribosomal RNA". The record is from RNAcentral. Lineage: Eukaryota; Viridiplantae; Streptophyta; Magnoliopsida; Poales; Poaceae.